RNAcentral lists this signal recognition particle RNA (298 nucleotides) under Cebus imitator (Panamanian white-faced capuchin). RNAcentral describes it as "Metazoan signal recognition particle RNA (ENSCCAG00000009259.1)". It matches the Rfam family "Metazoan signal recognition particle RNA". From Rfam's summary of the family: The signal recognition particle (SRP) is a universally conserved ribonucleoprotein. Lineage: Eukaryota; Metazoa; Chordata; Mammalia; Primates; Cebidae. The record is from RNAcentral.
ACCAGGCAUGGUGGUGUGUGCCUACAGUCCCAGCUACUUGGGAGGCUGAGGUGGGAGGAUCGCUUGAGCCCAGGAGUUCUGGGCUGUAGUGUGCUAUGCCAAUCGGUGUCUGCACUAAGUUCGGCAUCAAUAUGGUGACCUCCCAGGAGGGGAGGACCACCAGGUGGCCUAAGGAGGGGUGAACCGGCCCAGGUCGGAAACGGAGCGGGUCAAAACUCCUGUGCUGAUCAGUAAUGGGAUCUCGUCUGUGAAUAGCCACUGCACUCCAGCCUGGGCAACAUAGCGAGACAUUGUCUCU